Amborella trichopoda is the source of this 443-nucleotide long non-coding RNA. RefSeq lists it as uncharacterized. NCBI's taxonomy places the organism in Eukaryota, Viridiplantae, Streptophyta, Magnoliopsida, Amborellales, Amborellaceae. The record is from RefSeq and is a predicted model, not a curated record.
CCGGACGCUUUGGAGCCACGGGAGGUAGAGGAAUUCAGAGAGAGAAAUAGGGGAGAGUUGGGGUGAGUGAGAAACAAGAAGAAGAGAAGUUGAGAUUAGAAGCCUCGGGGUUAUAGGGCGUGCAGUCAUAAGCUUCCCGCAAGUUAUUGAAGCUCAAAACCUUCAUCAUGUUUUUUGGAACAACAUCUUCAGUUUGACUCAAUUUGGGGAUGGCUUUUGCUGAAUGAGACAACUCAAUGAAGCUUUUGCUUACUCAUGGAAUCAGCACAAUUUGGGGAUGGCUUUUGUUAUAUGAGACAACUCUAUAUUGAUGUGAAUGUAGUGUCAUCAAUGUUAAUAUUUAUGGCUCAAUUUGGAGAUGGCAUGUGUUGUAUGAGACAUAUUGAUGUGAAUGUAGAAUCAUGUGGCUCAAUUUCAUGUUAAUAUUUAUGACUCAAUUUGGG